This 497-nucleotide ribosomal RNA is filed under the name uncultured bacterium. Its description in RNAcentral is "partial 16S ribosomal RNA". It matches the Rfam family "Bacterial small subunit ribosomal RNA", at positions 28 to 507 of the family's 1533-position model. The record is from RNAcentral.
GAUGAACGCUGGCGGCGUGCCUAAUACAUGCAAGUCGAGCGAACAGACGAGGAGCUUGCUCCUCUGACGUUAGCGGCGGACGGGUGAGUAACACGUGGAUAACCUACCUAUAAGACUGGGAUAACUUCGGGAAACCGGAGCUAAUACCGGAUAAUAUAUUGAACCGCAUGGUUCAAUAGUGAAAGACGGUUUUGCUGUCACUUAUAGAUGGAUCCGCGCCGCAUUAGCUAGUUGGUAAGGUGACGGCUUACCAAGGCGACGAUGCGUAGCCGACCUGAGAGGGUGAUCGGCCACACUGGAACUGAGACACGGUCCAGACUCCUACGGGAGGCAGCAGUAGGGAAUCUUCCGCAAUGGGCGAAAGCCUGACGGAGCAACGCCGCGUGAGUGAUGGAGGUCUUCGGAUCGUAAAACUCUGUUAUUAGGGAAGAACAAAUGUGUAAGUAACUAUGCACGUCUUGACGGUACCUAAUCAGAAAGCCACGGCUAACUACGUG